AAAUGUAAAAUACGCAUAACGUCUAGGAUGAUAUCGCAGAAUCUCUUAAUAGGACGGCAGUGCCCAGGAAAAGUUCCUAAUAUGGAAAUGGUUUACAUACAGGAUCAUGAUGCCUAGGGAGACAGUCAUGACCAGGGCCCCUCUUUUCCUCUAGGACUCACUUUGGAGCCAUGGGAAAAGCUCUGAGAACCAACUGCCAUGUAGACCGUGCCCUAUGAACAACUCUCAACUGAAGAGCAAAGAGCUAGCUGCUUGGUCCGUGGAUGGCAGUUCCACAGAUCACUUCAACUUUUCAUUCCCCUGUUCGAUGUUGCAAACACAGACGUGGAAACAGGGAUGACUCCUAAGCAAGAAACUCUAGCUGCAUACCCGACCGGCUGUGGGGCAAUAUUGGACUGUCCAGCUUCCCCUAUCACCACAGCUAAGCCAAAGACCUCCUGGAAGGCAUCUCGGACGGCGGCAACUUUCACUUCUUUAUUCGAGGUCACUACGAUAUCCAGUUCACCUCCAGAUUCUACCAAGAAAAAAAUUUCAACCCCAGAUUAAUGAAAUUGUCCUAAUCAUUG
Long non-coding RNA from Panthera uncia (snow leopard), 566 nucleotides. RefSeq lists it as uncharacterized. The transcript has 3 exons. NCBI's taxonomy places the organism in Eukaryota, Metazoa, Chordata, Mammalia, Carnivora, Felidae. The record is from RefSeq and is a predicted model, not a curated record.